This 397-nucleotide long non-coding RNA is filed under the name Vigna radiata. RNAcentral's name for it is "long non-coding RNA (VRAD_LNC015785)". The record is from RNAcentral. Lineage: Eukaryota; Viridiplantae; Streptophyta; Magnoliopsida; Fabales; Fabaceae.
UUGUAUGGGAAAGUAAAAAGCAUUGAGUUCAAAAGAUGAAAAAAGAAAAAUGCAUGUGAAAGAAAAGAAAAGAAGACAAGAGAAAAACAUGUAAAGAAGAACUCAAUGUAACAUGAAAAGGGAAAAGUUGGGAAUGAGUGAGAUUGGUUAAAAAGAGAGUAUGCUUGAACUUUGAAUAAUGAAUUAAACUCUCUUAACUCAAGGAUUUUGUAUUCCAGAAAAACCAAUUUUCUUGUUAGCCCAGCCACAAUACAAGCCUUGGAAAAAGUCCUUGUGAUGACAUAUGCAUGUGAAAGAUGUUGAUUGUUUUAGAUGAAUGACAAUAUUGUUUUAUGUGACAUGUGAACAGUAAAGAGUAGAGUGACCUCCUUAAACAAUUGAGUGAUUGAGUGAAACA